This is a long non-coding RNA of Oncorhynchus keta (chum salmon), 2851 nucleotides long. RefSeq lists it as uncharacterized. NCBI's taxonomy places the organism in Eukaryota, Metazoa, Chordata, Actinopteri, Salmoniformes, Salmonidae. The record is from RefSeq and is a predicted model, not a curated record. The transcript is spliced from 3 exons.
CACAACAUCAGAAACAGGAGCCAAUAAUACUUCAUUUUGGUCAUUUAGCAGAUGCUCUUAUCCACAAGGAAUUUCAGUCAGUGCAAUCUAAUACAACAAGCACAAUACAACAUGAUCAACAAGUAGUGAACAUCUUCAACUACAGAGCUGGAACAAAUGAACAGCACUCGCUCUUCAGAGAUUAGGAACAUCAGUACUUCCUUGGAAAAUGGGUCUGGUUUUAGAAACUAUUUCCUGAUGAGCCCCGAGCUAGCUCACGUCUACAUGCUCGUUCAAUAGCCCUGCGAAGGGAGAAGAGAACACUCUGGUGUGAACACACACUUCAUUGUGUUAACACGUAGACCCAGGUCUCCUGUCAGCACACAAGCCUUCUUAUUGGCUAGCCUGGCCCCGGAGCCAAUAAAAACCCAGUAAAGUAGAGGAGUUGAGGCUCUAGGGCUUGUAACAGGUGUGAGGGGAACAAUGAGAGGAGAGGUGUUAAAACCUGGAUGAGAACUGCUGACCCCACACCUAGUCUUCAAUGGCUCACACAGACCAAACAGCAAAUACACUACGGAUGUCAUAUAAGGUCAGAUCUAGUGUACAGUCUAAUGAUUUGAUCAGAGGAUUUGUCUAGUUUAUCUAAAAUGAAUUCAAUCCAACAUCAACAUUUGGAUUACAAGAGCUAAAUAAAAGGCCUUAAAUCUGUCAUCUUUCCCGUCACCAUAAAUCACAAAUGGAAACAUGCACCGACAAGGAAAGAGUUAAAUAACGGAGGGAAAACACCAAGAGAAGACACUGUUGAACUGUCAUUAAGAUGAAAAACAGUCCACCCCAUUGCCCCAGGGUGACACCUGGAGAAGGUUCUCAUCAUAAACAUGCAGAAGGAGAGAGAAAAGUGGCCUGUUUAGAAUUGUGACUUUCUACCGACCAACAUGGGAGCAGAGAACACAUGCAGUCAAGAUCAUUAUGGACAUUCCAACAUGGUCCACUCACUAGCCCUUGGUUACCACACCCUGACAGCUCUCCACUGCACACUGUGAGCUGUCUGACAGCACGGGGCUGUGCUGUCCAGAGUAGUUUAGCUUCCAGCUACAGUCCUUUUCCCAGGGCCUCUGAGUCUGCAGCUAUAAGAGGUGAGUCACUGUCAGGCCUUUAGGAAACAGACCUGUCACUCUAUUUUCCCUUUCUCUCCUACUCGCUCUCUUAUCUUGCUCUCUUUUUCUGUCUCUCUCUCAAUUCAAUUCAAGGGCUUUAUUGACAUGGGAAACAUAUGUUAACGUUGCCAAAGCAAGUGAGAUAGAUCAUAAAGAAAAGUGGAAUAAACAAAAAAUGUACAGUAAACAUUACACUCACAAAAGUUACAAAAUAAUAGACAUAAAACGUCAUAUUAUGUGGAAAUAGUUAAAGUACCGGGGAAAAUAAAUAAGCAUAAAUAUGGUGUUUGUUCUUCACUGGUUGUCAUUUUCUUGUGGAAACAGAUCUUGCUGCUGUGAUGGCACACUGAGGUAUUUCACCCAGUAGAUAUGGGAGUUUAUCAAAAACAUUUAUUUCUGUUGAAUUCUUUGUGGAUCUGUGUAAUCAUCUCUCUCCUACUGCCUCCUGUCCUGUGUGAACAGUGAGGUGAACUAUCACUAGUCUUCUCUCUCCUACUGGCUCCUGUCCUGUGUGAACAGUGAGGUGAACUAUCACUAGUCUUCUCUCUCCUACUGGCUCCUGUCCUGUGUGAACAGUGAGGUGAACUAUCACUAAUCUUCUCUCUCCUACUGGCUCCUGUCCUGUGUGAACAGUGAGGUGAACUAUCACUAAUCUUCUCUCUCCUACUGGCUCCUGUCCUGUGUGAACAGUGAGGUGAACUAUCACUAAUCUUCUCUCUCCUACUGGCUCCUGUCCUGUGUGAACAGUGAGGUGAACUAUCACUAGUCUUCUCUCUCCUACUGGCUCCUGUCCUGUGUGAACAGUGAGGUGAACUAUCACUAAUCUUCUCUCUCCUACUGGCUCCUGUCCUGUGUGAACAGUGAGGUGAACUAUCACUAAUCUUCUCUCUCCUACUGGCUCCUGUCCUGUGUGAACAGUGAGGUGAACUAUCACUAGUCUUCUCUCUCCUACUGGCUCCUGUCCUGUGUGAACAGUGAGGUGAACUAUCACUAAUCUUCUCUCUCCUACUGGCUCCUGUCCUGUGUGAACAGUGAGGUGAACUAUCACUAGUCUUCUCUCUCCUACUGGCUCCUGUCCUGUGUGAACAGUGAGGUGAACUAUCACUAAUCUUCUCUCUCCUACUGGCUCCUGUCCUGUGUGAACAGUGAGGUGAACUAUCACUAAUCUUCUCUCUCCUACUGGCUCCUGUCCUGUGUGAACAGUGAGGUGAACUAUCACUAAUCUUCUCUCUCCUACUGGCUCCUGUCCUGUGUGAACAGUGAGGUGAACUAUCACUAAUCUUCUCUCUCCUACUGGCUCCUGUCCUGUGUGAACAGUGAGGUGAACUAUCACUAGUCUUCUCUCUCCUACUGGCUCCUGUCCUGUGUGAACAGUGAGGUGAACUAUCACUAAUCUUCUCUCUCCUACUGGCUCCUGUCCUGUGUGAACAGUGAGGUGAACUAUCACUAAUCUUCUCUCUCCUACUGGCUCCUGUCCUGUGUGAACAGUGAGGUGAACUAUCACUAAUCUUCUCUCUCCUACUGGCUCCUGUCCUGUGUGAACAGUGAGGUGAACUAUCACUAGUCUUCUCUCUCCUACUGGCUCCUGUCCUGUGUGAACAGUGAGGUGAACUAUCACUAAUCUUCUCUCUCCUACUGGCUCCUGUCCUGUGUGAACAGUGAGGUGAACUAUCACUAAUCUUCUCUUUGUGGGUUCAAAUGCCUUCGCUUUCAUU